This 301-nucleotide ribosomal RNA is filed under the name uncultured bacterium. RNAcentral describes it as "partial 16S ribosomal RNA". It matches the Rfam family "Bacterial small subunit ribosomal RNA", at positions 509 to 807 of the family's 1533-position model. The record is from RNAcentral.
CAGUAGCCGCGGUAAUACGGAGGGGGCUAGCGUUGUUCGGAAUUACUGGGCGUAAAGCGUACGUAGGCGGCACGAUUAGUCAGGCGUGAAAUUCCUGGGCUCAACCUGGGGACUGCGCUUGAUACGGUCGAGCUAGAGGAUGGAAGAGGGUCGUGGAAUUCCCAGUGUAGAGGUGAAAUUCGUAGAUAUUGGGAAGAACACCGGUGGCGAAGGCGGCGACCUGGUCCAUUACUGACGCUGAGGCGCGACAGCGUGGGGAGCAAACAGGAUUAGAUACCCCCGUAGUCCCUGUCUCUUAUAC